CCUACGGGUGGCAGCAGUGAGGAAUAUUGGUCAAUGGGCGCGAGCCUGAACCAGCCAAGUCGCGUGAGGGAAGACGGUCUUAUGGAUUGUAAACCUCUUUUGUCGGGGAGCAAAAGACGCCACGCGUGGCGUUCCGAGAGUACCCGAAGAAAAAGCAUCUGCUAACUCCGUGCCAGCAGCCGCGGUAAUACGGAGGAUGCGAACGUUAUCCGGAUUUAUUGGGUUUAAAGGGUGCGCAGGCGGAAGAUCAAGUCAGCGGUAAAAUUGAGAGGCUCAACCUCUUCGAGCCGUUGAAACUGGUGUUCUUGAGUGGGUGAGAAGUAUGCGGAAUGCGUGGUGUAGCGGUGAAAUGCAUAGAUAUCACGCAGAACUCCGAUUGCGAAGGCAGCAUACCGGCGCUCAACUGACGCUCAUGCACGAAAGUGUGGGUAUCGAACAGGAUUAGAUACCCGAGUAGUC
RNAcentral lists this ribosomal RNA (459 nucleotides) under uncultured bacterium. Its description in RNAcentral is "partial 16S ribosomal RNA". It matches the Rfam family "Bacterial small subunit ribosomal RNA", at positions 338 to 795 of the family's 1533-position model. The record is from RNAcentral.